RNAcentral lists this long non-coding RNA (306 nucleotides) under Amborella trichopoda. RNAcentral's name for it is "long non-coding RNA (ATRI_LNC001930)". Lineage: Eukaryota; Viridiplantae; Streptophyta; Magnoliopsida; Amborellales; Amborellaceae. The record is from RNAcentral.
GGGACUCGGUAGAGAGUCUCUCUUGCAAGCAAAAUAGGGUUUCGAAGGCUCUUAAAGAGAAGAAAGUGUAGGGCUGCAGUACGGUUCCUAUCACCAUUUUAGGCCAUUUUUGCUAUCACUCACGCUUAACACUCAGUUGGAAAACCGGAAUAGCUGGUGUGCUCUCCUGUUGCUUCUCCAAGCCAUUAGAAGACCAUCUAUUGGGCUUCUUUGAGGUGGGAAAGCGAUGAUCUUGUUGGUGCUUAUGAGGUAACUUUGUAUUUUCUCCAAGUUAUUGUUAUUCUCUCUCAUUUGAUUGUAAGCCUC